Picea glauca (white spruce) is the source of this 121-nucleotide non-coding RNA. The record is from Rfam. NCBI's taxonomy places the organism in Eukaryota, Viridiplantae, Streptophyta, Pinopsida, Pinales, Pinaceae.
ACAUGCCUACAACAUAGACUUAGUGCAUCAGAUCCCAUUAGAACUCCACAGUUAAGCACGCUCGGGCUAGAGUAGUACUAGGAUGGGUGACAGCCUGGGAAGUCCUAGUAUUUUACAUGCC